This 1686-nucleotide long non-coding RNA is filed under the name Homo sapiens (human). RNAcentral's name for it is "HSALNT0338194". Lineage: Eukaryota; Metazoa; Chordata; Mammalia; Primates; Hominidae. The record is from RNAcentral.
GGGGCAGGAGACCGGAGGGAGUUGAGGUUUUGCACCCGAUAAGGAGACGCAUAAAGGGAACGGGUGGGGACACAGGGCCCCUGCAGCCUCAGGAGGAUCAGCAGUGGCCUGGUUUACUCGUGUCGUCAUUCGUCGUGGGCACCUUGUCCCCGGGGCCGGCCAGUUACUUGGCCUCCUGGCUCAUCAUCCUGCCGGAAGCAUCUCCAGCUUGGGGAUGUUGGAGGGUCCCUGGCCCCACCUGGCUGGGGAUGGAGUGUAAGCCGAGGAGAUGCCAUGUGAGGGUGCAGCGAGGAGUUGGGCUGUCUAAAAGCAAAGAAAGAGAUUGCAUCAGACACCGCAUCUGCUGACACCUUGUUCUUGGACUUCCAGCUUCCAAAACCGCGAGAAAUAAAUGUCUGUGUCUAAACCCCAACCCUACCACCUCAACUGCCGUGUGUGGUGUUUUGUGAUGGCAGCCCCAGCUGACUGAGACACCUGGUUAGACCGGAAUAAGCAGUACCUGAGUCCCUUAAGAGUGGCCAAAGAAGAAAGAAUCCACUGAGUUGACAUUCCAGUUCAGCUGCAAUCGGUAGCAGUCACCAUUGAACAUCCUUGAAGCAAUUCUUCCAAAAUUACCUUGCAUCAAAGACUGCACAAGAACUGCUCUAAGCGGAAGGACUGAUGUCGGCAACCAGGGUUCCACCAGGGGCUGCAGACAGCCCUUGACCUUCAGGUGGGAAGGUGUCACUGAGUUCAGACCCUCUGGCAAUCCCUAGCUAUCAACAUUUUGAUAAGAAAAUAAGUGGAAAGGUAGAACUGGAAGAUUUUGCUGAAAGAUUGGACAUGGCAUUCAGAGAAACAGAGGUUUUAAUGACAAACUCCAAGUUUUUGGCUGGAGCAACUGGAAGAAUGAGGUUGCCAUGAACCGAAAAGAGAGAUUGCAGAAGUAACCAAAUUUACUCACGUAGGCCAGGAAUUUCUAUGACGUGUUCCAAAUUCAGCCUCUCACUGAACACUUCCAGAGCAAGGCAACAUAAACAUCUGCAAGAAGAACAUUGUGUGAGAAAUAUCAAGUGAGAGUGGAAGAGUCUGCGGAGGGCCUCCCUGGGGCUCACCUGUGCUUUUGCCUGAGCUUCACCGUGUCAAGGAUGCAGCACUUUUUCCCUCUGGAGGAAGCAGCUUUCACCUUGGAAGAAUCUUGACCUUGCCAUUCAAAGUCACCAGACAGGGAAUCUGCCAGUGCCUUGAUCUUAGACUUCCCAGCUUCUGUAACUGUGAGCAAUAAAUGUAUGCUGCUUAUAAACUAUCCAGUCUCAUGCAUUUUGUUAUAGCAAUAUAAACAGAUGAAGACAGACAUAAACAUAUCUUUUUGAGAGAUGCAAUGCAACCCAUACCACCAGGAUUGCCACAUGUUUGCUGAUUUCACCUGGUAGCAAGGCUUAGCUAUCUUGGCUUGAAUGUAAUACCUCCAUCUUUUCUCUUGGUCAUCCUCUUUAAGCAGAGGACUUUUAUCUACCCAAGCAGAAUCCUGUGUUCUUGCUAUUCGAAGUGCAGCCCAGCCUCCUGCAGCCACCACAUCACUUGUGAUGCUUGACAGAAAUGCAGACUCUCUGUUCCCACCUCAAACCUACUGACUUGGGAAUCUGCAGCUUACCAAGAUCUCCAGGUGAUCCACGUACACGUCAAACUUUGAAAAGCAGUGGUUUG